GACACCGAAUGAACUAAACGAUUUCGUAAGAGAUCGUAUAUAUCAUCUGAAGGCAUGCAACAAAACUAUUGCUAAUCUCUAGUUGCAUUUCCAUAGUCUAUUUUAAUUUUUGUUUUUUUCAUGUUUUCAGAACAUUUGAAAUUAUUUAUUUCUCUUAGUUUCUAGGAGGGACCACAAACAGAAAAGUUAAUAGGCCUAUUAAGGAUAUAUUGGAUGCAGUUGACGAAACACUAAAGAUUGAUGACACAGAAGCUCACAUGGCAGUGUCGAACAGAUUGAGCACAGCUCGAUUAAUGUGUCAUACACAGCAAGGAGUGACAUCCACAGGUUCAAUUGAAGUGCUUGAAGGUGAAGGGAAUGCCAUGGCUCAUAUUCAAGUUAUGAAAGCACCAAUUUGAAGAUGUCCUUUGCUUAUCGCUCAUCAUGCCAUGCUGGAACGUCUUCUGUUUUCUGGUGGGCAGCCUGGCAGCUUCCCUUUUGUUUUUUUAUACAAGGCCUCUACACCAGCCGGGCAGGUAAGUUGAGCUAUAACAUCACCUUGGAUGUCUUCAUGGGCUCUUGUGGGUCUGCUGCCUUCUACAUCGUUUAUCUCUACUUUCAGAACCGUUGGUAUUUUGAACGUUAGUUAGAAACGCAAUGGGUCCGUAUGGAGCUGAGACAGAUGAAAAGACAAAUGGUAGUCUAAUUGAAAUGAGUAUGUGUUAUGGGCAAGGAUAACGUUGUUUGAUAUAGGGUCUAGGGCAACUAAAGAACAAUUCGUCAGUAGUGCAUGCUGGAAUGUCCGGCCCUUUAGCUUCGUUGUGCAACCCCUUUAGUGUAAGUGGCAUCCCAGGAGGAUUGUUCAGUUGUCAGGCAUUGAUUGUUAUGGCUUGUUGAAUUUUUUUAGGCCACAACUGGUGAAACUGGCUUGGAAAGUCCCAGAUCCACAACUCUGUGAAAGGGAACAUGUGCCAGCGAAAUGUGGAUGCUGCAUUGGCUUUCCUGAGCGACGAGGGACAUAUCAACUCUACAGUGGAUGAAGUUCACUUCGAAUCUACAGACAGCUACAUAUCAUGUUAAGUUACCUUAUUUGUUGAUUUGUGUGGUUUAAUUGCAGAAAUGUAUGGGAUG
Long non-coding RNA from Daphnia magna, 1110 nucleotides. RefSeq lists it as uncharacterized. The transcript is spliced from 4 exons. Lineage: Eukaryota; Metazoa; Arthropoda; Branchiopoda; Diplostraca; Daphniidae. The record is from RefSeq and is a predicted model, not a curated record.